GACGAACGUUGGCGGCGCGCUUAAUGCAUGCAAGUCGAGGGAGAAGCGUUGGUUCCGUAAGGUCCCGACGUGGAAACCGGCGAACGGGUGCGUAACACGUGAGAAACCUGCCCCCCAGACCGGGAUAGCCCAGGGAAACUUGGAUUAAUACCGGAUACUCUCUCGGGACCGCAUGGUCCCUUGAGGAAAGGUCCGCUGCUGGGGGAUGGUCUCGCGGCCUAUCAGGUAGUUGGUGAGGUAACGGCUCACCAAGCCGAAGACGGGGUAGCUGGUCUGAGAGGACGAUCAGCCACACUGGAACUGAGACACGGUCCAGACUCCUACGGGAGGCAGCAGCAGGGAAUAUUGCACAAUGGGCGAAAGCCUGAUGCAGCGACGCCGCGUGCGGGAUGAAGGCCUUCGGGUUGUAAACCGCUUUCAGGAGGGACGAAACUGACGGUACCUGCAGAAGAAGGUCCGGCCAACUACGUG
Molecule: ribosomal RNA, 471 nt
Filed under: uncultured bacterium
Lineage: Bacteria
Description: bacterial SSU rRNA
Rfam family: Bacterial small subunit ribosomal RNA
Source: RNAcentral